Fonticula alba is the source of this 117-nucleotide small nuclear RNA. It matches the Rfam family "U5 spliceosomal RNA". Rfam says of the family: U5 RNA is a component of both types of known spliceosome. NCBI's taxonomy places the organism in Eukaryota, Rotosphaerida, Fonticulaceae. The record is from Rfam.
CAGCCCUGAGCUUCACAUCCCAAAGAUGCAAUUUUCGCCUUUUACUAGAAUUGCCUUGAUGCGAGGUUCGCUCAACUGGGCCUAGAAGAAUAUUUGGAACAGUCUCUCCUAGACUUC